GACGAGGGGUCCUAGCGUUGUUCGGAAUCACUGGGCGUAAAGCGUUUGUAGGCGGCCCUAUAAGUCGGGUGUGAAAUCCCACGGCUCAACCGUGGAAGUGCAUUCGAAACUGUAGGGCUUGAAUAUGGAAGAGGAGAGUAGAAUUCCUGGUGUAGUGGUGAAAUACGUAGAUAUCAGGAGGAAUACCGGUGGCGAAGGCGGCUCUCUGGUCCAAUAUUGACGCUGAGAAACGAAAGUGCGGGGAUCAAACAGG
This 253-nucleotide ribosomal RNA is filed under the name uncultured bacterium. Its description in RNAcentral is "partial 16S ribosomal RNA". It matches the Rfam family "Bacterial small subunit ribosomal RNA", at positions 524 to 776 of the family's 1533-position model. The record is from RNAcentral.